UAACCACUAAAUUCACUUUAAGCCAAGUUUAUUUUAGAUACUGUACAUCUUUACAGAUAAACAUUAACAUUUUGUUAGGUUCAUUACAGCUGCUGUAAUCAUAUUACAAAUAAUGUGAUAAUGAAUCUCUUUGAACUCAGAGGUGGGUGGACACAGAAAAAGAUUACAGGUCAUCAAACAAGUAGGUGGACAUUUUUCAUGACCAUUUCAAAUACAGUAGCCUGUGUUUUAGUCUAUUUAGCCUGGAGGUGCUCAGCUCUGCUCCUGGAAACCACCACACCUUGGUAUUUUCUCCGUGGUUAUCAGAUCUGUGUUCAGGCGUCUGAUUGUGUUACACCCAGGUCCUCCUGGCCUAUGUGCAAGAACAUGCAAUUUGUGACAAGUCUGCAGUGCCACGUUUGUCCACAAGAUGGCCCUCGAAUUACAUUUCAAACUACUGAUCUGCCAAGUCUAUAACCUCAAUACUAACAGUGUAUUCAAAGAAAGACUGCCCACACACCCCGAGGAGCAUAAACAGUAAAUAUAUAUUUUUUUAAAAACACAGAAUGAGAAGUUAAAUAUUUCGAAAAAAUAAAUGUUGAAAUCAGGAGGCUAUUUUAAUCAUAUUCUGCUCUCCCACGUGUAUGUUCGACAAGGAUGACAUAUGGACCCGUCACAUGUUUCUCAUGAGACUGUGAAAUAACUCAGUUUUAUCACUCAGCAAUCAGCCCACGGAUGUUUACGAGCUGGUCUGAACAUUUCUGAGCCUCCGUCGUGGUCAGCAGUAGACUAUUCACAACAGUAGUGGCCUGUGAAUGCAAACAGCUUCUGCACUUGCUGGCGUGUUAUAUAAAAAAGGAAAUCAGAAAAGAAAAAUCAUGCAAAAAAACAAAAAACACACAAAAAAAAGGUCCUAUUGUGGUGUACUGACGCGCUGAAUAGGUGACGUGAGGCUGCCCACGCUGGCUUGCCAGCUGCAUGGACUUACACGUGACGAGCGGGAUAAAGUCGGCUCCCGUUCCCGGAGAGGUGGGGUCGGGGGAGGAAACGGGACCGCUAUAGGGGGAGAAAGAGUGAACACACACGGAUAAACAGGACUGCUAUAGCGGGAGAAAGCGUGAACACACACGGCUGGCCAGGCGUGCGGGAUUUAAGCGGAGUCCGCGCCAGUGCUCGUGCCCACGCAGACAUGAAUUCAGAAAUUAGGCUGCGCCCGGUCUUAGUUUGAAUCGCAAAUACUCCACGCAGAAUUAAAGCUGCGUUUAGCGUUUGUUCGAUUUUGACUUUAUUGAGAACAGCUGAUUUUGAGUAAUCUUGGAUGCAAAUUUCAUGAUGCAGAGUUAGUCUAAAGAUGCGUGUUAUGUAUUUUAAAACGAAUCUAGUUAGAUAUUUAGUAGCCCGUUAGUUUAUGUUGUUGAUGGUGUUUGUAGUCUACGUCUUCGGAGUGAUAGCUAUUAUUGAUUAGGAUGAAAUAUAAAAUAGAAAACUCCAUUUUGGUGCCAGUAAGAUAAGACUGCAGGUUAUAUAAGUCAUUAUAUAAGGAUGCGCAGCGUUGAGAAAGGGCGACAACUUGUUUAGCUGUGGAUGCAAAGACUAGGCAAACACAUGCAGCCUUUCCACAGGAAAAAAAAAAUUUAUUAAUACUUUUUAAAUGUAUGUCAACAAUAAAUUUUGACAAAAUAUAUAUACAAUCAAGCAACCUUCUGUUAGGUCCCAAAAUAAAAAACCCAAGUACCUUUUCCUAUACAAAACUAGUAUAUGGUUUAAACAUUGUACAUUCACUUUCCUCGCUUCUCAAAGAUUUCAGAAUUUAAAAUGUACAUAACUGUAAUUAUUUUACUGCUUGAAACAAAUAAAGGCAACAGCAUGAACAAAGAUCUGUCUUAAUUUGACCAGAAAUGAACAUAGAACAUGAUGCCAACAUCACCUACAACGAACCAGUCGGGAACUCCCAUCUGUCGCAAUGCAGACACACAACUUGCAGGUCAUGUAUCAAAAAUAUAGAUGUACACGUAGUAUAAACAAAUGCAUUACACAACAUGGUUACCUCACAAGUACUACUUGCACAACCAAUGAUAUAUUACAAUCUCUCGCUCUCGCUCUAAAAAAAAGAAAAAAAAAA
Non-coding RNA from Electrophorus electricus (electric eel), 2101 nucleotides. NCBI's taxonomy places the organism in Eukaryota, Metazoa, Chordata, Actinopteri, Gymnotiformes, Gymnotidae. The record is from RefSeq and is a predicted model, not a curated record.